This 468-nucleotide ribosomal RNA is filed under the name uncultured bacterium. Its description in RNAcentral is "partial 16S ribosomal RNA". It matches the Rfam family "Bacterial small subunit ribosomal RNA", at positions 28 to 507 of the family's 1533-position model. The record is from RNAcentral.
GACGAACGCUGGCGGCGUGCUUAACACAUGCAAGUCGAACGGAAAGGCCCUGCUUUUGUGGGGUGCUCGAGUGGCGAACGGGUGAGUAACACGUGAGUAACCUGCCCUUGACUUUGGGAUAACUUCAGGAAACUGGGGCUAAUACCGGAUAGUAGCUCCUGCUGCAUGGUGGGGGUUGGAAAGUUUCGGCGGUUGGGGAUGGACUCGCGGCUUAUCAGCUUGUUGGUGGGGUAGUGGCUUACCAAGGCUUUGACGGGUCGCCGGCCUGAGAGGGUGACCGGCCACAUUGGGACUGAGAUACGGCCCAGACUCCUACGGGAGGCAGCAGUGGGGAAUAUUGCACAAUGGGCGGAAGCCUGAUGCAGCAACGCCGCGUGCGGGAUGACGGCCUGCGGGUUGUAAACCGCUUUCGCCUGUGACGAAGCGUGAGGGACGGUAAUGGGUAAAGAAGCACCGGCUAACUACGUG